UGUGUUGCAAAGAUAAGCCAUUAAUCACAGCCUAAUAAAUACUAAGAAAAUUACUCAGUAUGGAUUUGUGGUGGGGGUUUGGCACAGAUGCCACUGCAGCUGGAGAAUAUGGGGAAUUUCAGCAUACAGGAUAAGAAGCCUGCAGAUCAUGAUUCCCUUGUUCCCCUUGGUCAGGUGUCUUAUACUUUUUUGAGUGUCUGUAGUUGCACUGGGACUCACUCACAUAAGGAUGGGCUGCCUUUACAUUUGGCCAUUGUUGGAAUGCAUCAGACUGCACUGAUAGCAACUACAAUUCAAAGCAGAUUUCUUGACAAAUGCUGGAAAUCUGUGCUAAUUCCUAAAGUUAACAUGCAAAACCAGUGAUACACAAAGCUGAAGAAACAGUAGGCUUAUAUGGGAAAGGUUAUUCCUUCAUAUUUAGAAAUGGAGGGAAGGUUACACUACACUGCAUGCUACUUUUAAUCCAUGAAAGCUUUACAUGCAAAAUUAUUUGGAUUAUAAAAGGGAGUUUUCUAAGGGAGUCGGGUUUAACAAAAAAGGAAUAUCUUACCUGUAGGUCUGUGUGGAGCAGCAUUCACAGGAAUUCUCUUUUGCUGUCCCUCCUGUGGCAGUAUCUAUAAGUAAGGCUGGACUUUGAUUGGGCAAAGGUUGAUUUAGAAGAUUAUUUAUUUAACCAAGAUUCACUGAAUAUGUUCAACACCUUGAUAGGCUGCCUUGUCCUUGCUUGCAGAAGUGCUAAUCACAUGCAUGUCUUGGCAGCUUUGAAUUUUGCUCUGCUUAUAAAAACUUAAGUCAAUGAGGUCAUCCGAGGCAAGCCUGAUCUUUACUCUGGGCAAGAAUCUUCUCCAGCUGUAAGAAAUAUCUUAGCAGGAGCAGGUUCGGAUUGUGGUGGAUUGACCUGGGCCAGCAGCAUUUGACUGCAGAUCAAGAGGUUACUGGUUCAAAUCUAUACAUGUUAGAUGCCAGGUAAAGGACUGUGAUGGGUUAACCUUGGCUGGCAACCAAAUGCCCACUGAGCUGCUUUUGCUCCCUUCCUGUACAGAGCAGGAGGGAGAAAAUAGGAUGAAAAGGUUUGAAGAAUUCAAGGUCAUCCAGAAGUGGAAGGAUUUCAAGAUCUAUGUCACUGGGGAAGCCAGCAUGAGCUUGAGUGAAACUUGUAUGUGGCAGUAAGCUUCAUGGUGUUUGAGUCCAUAUAGCCAGUGGCAAGAUCUCAAGAAGUUCAGCAGAAGUACUCACUGUGUCCUGAAGAAGAGGAUGAUGGAAUAAGAACCCUGCAUAAUUAUAUUUACUGCCAGUAAGGUGGAAUAAUAAAGUAGCUAAUGGAUGCUUAAAUCAGUGCAGAAGAUGACUCAGAUCACAGGGUUCCUCGCCAGGCCUGGAGGCAGCAGCCCUGUACUGGUGUUCCAAAUGGCAGCUUUGGCAAUGCUGGUAUCAGAUCACGGUAUGCUGGAAGUGAUUUAGGCAUCUACCCCAAAUUAUCUGGAAGAAGGAGAGACCGUGAAUUUAAAUUGCCUCAUCAAGCAUCAGCAGGAUCAGUCAUCACAAAUGGAGGCUCGCUGGUAUAAAAAACCAAAGAAGCAAAAUGAGUCUGGGUUUGCAAAGACAUGGAAGGUUUGCACCACUCCUGAAACUUAAACCUGAAAAGUCACGUCCUCUCUUGCUUCUGAAAAUUCAGAAUAUCAACCAGACAGUGGCCACACUCAAUGCAGAGCCAAAAUAAAGAACACUGUCCUGACUGCUAUGGGCCUCUUUAUUAGGGUGAAUGUAACAGGGCUUGUGCCGUGAAAACCCUGUCUGUGGAGUCUGGGCUGCUUUGCUUAAACAAGAUAGGUUUCCUGAGAUACUGUAAGAACAACUUCAUUUUAUCGUGCAUGAUGAAUAUCCGGGAUUCAUGUUGUGUUUCAUGGCUCACUUAAAGCUUUCAAGGGACUUAUUUCUGGAAUUGCUGGUACUGGUUCUUUGGGAUUAUUCACA
Molecule: long non-coding RNA, 1974 nt
Organism: Pezoporus flaviventris
Lineage: Eukaryota; Metazoa; Chordata; Aves; Psittaciformes; Psittacidae
Exons: 7
Source: RefSeq, a predicted model, not a curated record